RNAcentral lists this long non-coding RNA (200 nucleotides) under Olea europaea (common olive). Its description in RNAcentral is "long non-coding RNA (OEUR_LNC007796)". The record is from RNAcentral. Lineage: Eukaryota; Viridiplantae; Streptophyta; Magnoliopsida; Lamiales; Oleaceae.
CAACUUUUGGAACUUCGAUUUCACUUUCGUGGACAUUUUAUUUUCCUCGAGUCUAUACCUUACAUGUUAACAAAAUUUAUUUUUUGUGCUUGAGUUUCUUUCUUGUAACAUAAAAUUUAUUUUCUUACUCUUGACUUUGGAUUAUAUUGGGAUGGAAAAAAGCUUGAUGAAGAUUCGGUUUGGUUAUGGUUAUGUGUUGG